RNAcentral lists this ribosomal RNA (495 nucleotides) under uncultured Saprospiraceae bacterium. RNAcentral describes it as "bacterial SSU rRNA". It matches the Rfam family "Bacterial small subunit ribosomal RNA", at positions 8 to 505 of the family's 1533-position model. The record is from RNAcentral. Lineage: Bacteria; Pseudomonadati; Bacteroidota; Saprospiria; Saprospirales; Saprospiraceae.
AGGCUUUGAUCCUGGCUCAGGAUGAACGCUAGCGGCAGGCCUAAUACAUGCAAGUCGAGCGGUAAGGUCCUUCGGGACCCUAGAGCGGCGCACGGGUGAGUAACGCGUACACGACCUACCUUUAACACUGGGAUAGCCCUGGGAAACUGGGAGUAAUACCGGAUGUGAUCAUAUUUAAUAGAGGGAUAUGAUUAAAGCUGAGGCGGUUAGAGAUGGGUGUGCGUCUGAUUAGCUAGUUGGCGAGGUAACGGCUCACCAAGGCGAUGAUCAGUAGGGGGCGUGAGAGCGUGGUCCCCCACACGGGUACUGAGACACGGACCCGACUCCUACGGGAGGCAGCAGUAAGGAAUAUUGGGCAAUGGACGGAAGUCUGACCCAGCCAUGCCGCGUGCAGGAAGAAGGCCCUAUGGGUUGUAAACUGCUUUUCUGAGGGAAGAAAGGUAUUUAUUUAUAGGUAUCUGACGGUACCUCAGGAAUAAGCACCGGGGUACCAUC